Loxodonta africana (African savanna elephant) is the source of this 1829-nucleotide long non-coding RNA. RefSeq lists it as uncharacterized. The transcript has 8 exons. The record is from RefSeq and is a predicted model, not a curated record. Lineage: Eukaryota; Metazoa; Chordata; Mammalia; Proboscidea; Elephantidae.
UAAGCGCAGCUUUCUCAAACCCUUCUUUCAAUUUAAUGCCCAAAUGAUCAUUUCAUUGCCUUGGAUAGAAAGUAACUAAUUUGUCUUAUGAUUCCCAAAUGGUAACUAACUCAAGUUAACCAGCAGAGUUUCAUCUAAUUGGAUCAAGUCUUGAUGGUUAAACUCAGCAAAACUAAUCUGAAUUUAGAAAUUUAGUUUUUCACUUCUCUUUCUCCACCCACAAAAGGGAGAAAAGAACAAACUCCUUAACAGUUACUGCUUUCAUCUGCGGCAUUUCCAGCUUGCAUUUACUAUCAUGACACACACUAGUAUUUGCUUCAAUGCGUUUUUGAAGAAAACGGUUGCAAACUAGAGAUGUGCAAAUGAGCACUUACCUGUAGAACUAUCGUAGGCUAUUUCAAAGCCAGAAAAACAGAAAAAACUCACCAUGUUCCUCAGGCCAACCAGGCAGGCGUGAAAGACCUUUGAAAGGCAGGAGAUGCCAACAUAGUCUCAAGUGUCCACCUGAUCCAAGAAGCUCACUCCUCACCAGCAUCCCUCUCCAACCCAUUGUCCAGUUCAAUCCAUGUCUGAAGAGUUGGCUUCGGGAAUGGUUCCUGUCCUGGGCCAACAGAAGAUAAGGCCUUUGGUACAUGAUGGGUAGACCCGCGAUGGAAUGAAAGCCUCGGUGCAGUGAAGGAAAGAAGGAAAGCGCUCAUUACCUCUAUUUGUCUGUAAUUAAAGCACCACAGCUCUACUAAGAUUGCCCAAAAAGGCACUGAUAAAAAUACAUUUUGCCCUCCAGAGGGCAGUCUGGCUCUACAAAAUACACAGUCCUGGGCAGCAUUUGAGCAUAGAGAACAAACAGAGAUUCUGCAUGACUCCUUGUUGACCCACAUUAUCAGCACACACUUGUAAAGAGGAAACACUGAACCGAGGAGACCUGUGAAAGCCAACCGAGGUUUCUUCACAACUGUCAGCUGCUGAUAAUAAUUGGACAUACAGGUUUUCAAUAAAUACUUGCUGAAUGAAUACGUGAAAAAGGAGGCAAAAAGGAAAAAAAAAGAUGAUCAAGAAUGUUCAGAUAAACUGCGAUCAAAAUAACUGACUCCUGGGGAACAAGGAUUAAGAAGGUCUGAAUUAGAGAACAUCUUUUGAACUUGCCCUGGCCCCUCAGUGAAUGAGCUGAAGCUGUUGUAGAUAAGAAGUGCUGGGCACUGGGGACUCCUGGUGUCUUUGUGUUUUGCAGUAUGAAGAGUGCAGUGGAAACAAGGUGAUGAGCCUUCCAUGCACCUUGGAGGGAGGAUGAGAGAAACAGAGUCCUUCACUGUGCGUGUAUCCAUGGCUGAGACAUUGAAAUAUUUUUUACUUGGUGGCCAAAGUUUAAUUGGGGUAUUGUGUUAGUUAUUUACUGCUGCUAUAACAGAAGUACCACAAGUGGGUGGCUUUAACAAACAGAAAUUUAUUCUCUCACAGUCUGGGAGGCUAGAAGUCUGAAUUCAGGGCGCCACCUCCAGGGGAAGGCUUUCUCUCUCUGUCGAUUCUGGGAAAAGGUCUUUCUCAUCAAUCUUCCCUUGGUCUAGGAGCUCCUCAGUGCAGGGACCAAGGGUCCAAAGGCCAUGCUCUGCUCUGGGUGCUUAUUUCUUGGUGGUAAUGAGGUCCCUCUCCUCUCCGCUCAGUUUUCUUUUAUAGCUUGAAAGAGAUUGACUCAAGAUACAACCUAAACCUGUGAAUUGAGUCCUGCCUCAUUAACAUAACAUCAGGUCACAAAAUGGUGAACAACCACACAAUACUGGGAAUCAUGGCCUAGCCAAGUUGAUACACAUUUUUGGGGAACACAGUUCAAUCCA